UAAAGGAUUUCUUCGGAAUGAAUUUGAUUAAGUUGAGUGGCGGACGGGUGAGUAACGCGUGAGUAACCUGCCUCUGAGAGGGGAAUAACAUUCUGAAAAGAAUGCUAAUACCGCAUAAUAUAUAUUUAUCGCAUGGUAGAUAUAUCAAAGAUUUAUCGCUUAGAGAUGGACUCGCGUCCGAUUAGUUAGUUGGUGAGGUAACGGCUCACCAAGACCGCGAUCGGUAGCCGGACUGAGAGGUUGAACGGCCACAUUGGGACUGAGACACGGCCCAGACUCCUACGGGAGGCAGCAGUGGGGGAUAUUGCGCAAUGGGGGGAACCCUGACGCAGCAACGCCGCGUGAAGGAUGAAGGUCUUCGGAUUGUAAACUUCUUUUAUUAAGGACGAAGAAAGUGACGGUACUUAAUGAAUAAGCUCCGGCUAACUACGUGCCAGCAGCCGCGGUAAUACGUAGGGAGCAAGCGUUGUCCGGAUUUACUGGGUGUAAAGGGUGCGUAGGCGGCUUUGCAAGUCAGAUGUGAAAUCUAUGGGCUCAACCCAUAGCCUGCAUUUGAAACUGCAGAGCUUGAGUGAAGUAGAGGCAGGCGGAAUUCCCCGUGUAGCGGUGAAAUGCGUAGAGAUGGGGAGGAACACCAGUGGCGAAGGCGGCCUGCUGGGCUUUAACUGACGCUGAG
This 676-nucleotide ribosomal RNA is filed under the name uncultured Lachnospiraceae bacterium. RNAcentral's name for it is "bacterial SSU rRNA". It matches the Rfam family "Bacterial small subunit ribosomal RNA", at positions 68 to 750 of the family's 1533-position model. Lineage: Bacteria; Bacillati; Bacillota; Clostridia; Lachnospirales; Lachnospiraceae. The record is from RNAcentral.